Molecule: long non-coding RNA, 3074 nt
Organism: Eriocheir sinensis (Chinese mitten crab)
Lineage: Eukaryota; Metazoa; Arthropoda; Malacostraca; Decapoda; Varunidae
Exons: 3
Source: RefSeq, a predicted model, not a curated record
CCGAGCCCUGGCCGCCAGGUGCCUCGCCCUCUUUACCUGUGUGCCGGUCUUCUGCCGCACCUGUCAACAGAGGCGGCGACGGCGGCUGUGAGGUGGCCGCCGGUUUUGUUGUUUUUUUUUGUCUAGUUUUGAGGUUGUGUUUGUAGGUUGUGAAGGCUUGUUUUUUCUUAUUGUUUUUUAUGUUAUUGAUUUGUUGUCGUUAGGAAGGUAGUCAUUGAUUUAUUUUCAUUCAUAUUUUCUUGUUUAGUCGAUUAUUGUAGUUUCCAGGUUGUGUUGUGGGUUGUGAAGGCUUGUUUUUUGCUAUUGUUUUUAUGUUAUUGAAUUGUUGUUGUUAGGAAGGUAGUCAUUGAUUUAUUUUCUUAUUUAUUUAUUUUAUUGCAUCAUUUUCUUAUUUAGUCUAUUCUUGUAGUUUCCAGGUUGUGUUGUAGGUUGUGAAUGCUUAGUUUUUUGUUAUUGUUUUUAUGUUAUUGAAUUGUUGUCUUCAGGAAGGUAGUCAGUGCUUUAUUUUCAUUCAUAUUUUCUUAUUUAGUCUAUUCUUGUAGUUUCCAGACCGUGUUGUAGAUUGUAGUUGCUUCUUUUAAGUAUUAUUAUUUAUUAUAUUAUCUUUUCUACCUUUCCCAGAGUAUAUAUCAAAGGUAGAAUACAUUUUUUCAUUCAUAUUUUCUUAUUUAGUCUAUUCUUGUAGUUUCCAGACCGUGUUGUAGAUUGUAGUUGCUUCUUUUAAGUAUUAUUAUUUAUUAUAUUAUCUUUUCUACCUUUCCCAGAGUAUAUAUCAAAGGUAGAAUACAUUUUUUCAUUCAUAUUUUCUUAUUUAGUCUAUUCUUGUAGUUUCCAGACCGUGUUGUAGAUUGUAGUUGCUUCUUUUAAGUAUUAUUAUUUAUUAUAUUAUCUUUUCUACCUUUCCCAGAGUAUAUAUCAAAGGUAGAAUACAUUUUUUCAUUCACAUUUUCUUACUUUGUCUAUUUAGAACAGUACAAACAUUGCUACCUGUCCAACGCUUCAUUUUCACAAGUCUAGCUUAAGUGAUGGAUAGAGAUGAGCUUUUUUUAUUAUCAUUAGACAAAAACUACAUUAAUAAUACAGUUUAGAACAAUACAUUACCUGUCCAGUAUUGGGUGCCUUCAUUUCCACAAGUUUACCUGCAGUGGUAGAAAGAGAAGGGCUAUUAUUAUUAUUAUUAUUAUUACAUAGAGGUGUUAUUCAUGUGAGUAUAGAUAGAUAGAUGGGCAGAGAAGAACUUUUAUAAUUAUUAGGUGAAAAGAAACUGUACGAAGGCAUGAGGAUGGUUGCCUGUAGUGGUAGGUAGAGAAGGGCUUUUUCUAUUAUCACACAAAGAAGAGGUGUUAUUCAUGUGAGUAUAGAUAGAUAAAUGGACAUAGAAAAUCAUUUAUCUUUAUUACAAGAAGGCAGUGAGAAUGGUUCCUGUAGUGGUAGGUAGAGAAGGGCUUUUUCUAUUAUUAUCACACAAAGAGGAGGUGUUAUUCAUGUGAGUAUAGAUAGAUAAAUGGACAUAGAAAAUUAUAUAUCAUUAUUACAAGAAGACAGAGAGAAUGGUUCCUGUAGUGGUUGGUAGAGAAUAGCUUUUUCUAUUAUUACACAAAGAGGAGGUGUUAUUCAUUUUAGAGUAUAGAUAGAUAAAUGGACAUAGAAAAUCAUUUAUCAUUAGUACAAGAAGACAGAGAGAAUGGUUCCUGUAGUGGUUGGUAGAGAAGGGCUUUUUCUAUUAUCACACAAAGAGGAGCUGUUAUUCAUUCAAAGAGGUAUUCAAAGAAGUGUUAUUCAUUCAAAGAAGAGGAAUUAUUCAUGUGAGAUUAUAAUAGGUGAAGAAGAGCUGUUAUUCCUAUUAAACAUUUGAUAGAUAGAUAGAUGGAGAGUGAGCAGCUUUUAUUAUUAGUAUGCACAAAACAGAGUGUAUGCAGGCAGUAUGAAUGGUGUAAAUACUAUGCAAAGGUCAGUGGUACAUAUGUAAAGGCCUGGCACAUUUGUAUAGACAGCUUGGGAGGGAAAACACACGCUUGCAACACUGGGAACACUUCUGCAACACUUGAGGUUCAUAUGUGUGGGCACUGUGGCACUAGAAACACAUAGGCACUAGAUGAGAAUGCAACACACACACUCACACACUCGCACACAAACACAACACAAAUACAUGAGAGAAAAACAGUGGUUGGUGCCAAAACUAUAUAGGAACACACUUACAAAGAAACACAAAAGACACAGUAAGUUUAACCCGUGUAGCAGCGAGGGGUCAAAUUUGUGGCUUUACCGUGUAGCAGCGACGGGCCAAAUUUGUGGCUUUACCGUGUAGCAGCGAGGGGCCAAAUUUGUGGCUUUACCGUGUAGCAGCGACGGGCCAAAUUUGUGGCUUUACCGUGUAGCAGCGAGGGGCCAAAUUUGUGGCUUUACCGUGUAGCAGCGAUGGGCCAAAUUUGUGGCUUUACCGUGUAGCAGCGACCGGCCAAAUUUAUACCAUGAUAUAGACCUCCCAAAAUAGAUGAUACAUAAACUGAUCACAAAUGCGUUGAUAUAUAUAUUAUGAAAUGGUUUGUGUGAGGGGUGAUUUUUUCUCAUUUUCUCGCUUGGAGGGACCAUUAAGAAACAUGAUCCCCGCUGCUACCGGGUUAAACAAGGCCAGUAAAGUGCCAUGCAACACACAUGAAUUAAAGAAAAAUAAAACAUAAAAUCACAGCAAUACAGAAAAACAAGUUAGUAUUUGUGUUGCCUGAGGGUGCAUGGGGGGUGGAAGAAGGAGGGGGGUGGGGCAAGGUGUACAUACCUCACUCACCUGUACAGAAACACUACUAACGAACACAAAAACACUUACAAGUCAACGCCAGGGAGACUGUCCUCUGAGCCCCACCACCUCCCACAGCGCCCUGUUUUUUACAUAUGUCUAACAAUAUAAUGCUAUGGUUUGGAGGCUCAGGAGGACAGUUUGCCUGGCAGGGACUGUAACACAACUUCUCAGGAGCUACAGCCAAACAGAAUGGGUACAAGUGGAGCCAAAUUUAAUGGGUACAAGCAAGCAAGUAGUCAAACAGGAUGGGUACAAGUGGAGCCAAAUUGAAUGGGUA